Molecule: long non-coding RNA, 1822 nt
Organism: Helianthus annuus (common sunflower)
Lineage: Eukaryota; Viridiplantae; Streptophyta; Magnoliopsida; Asterales; Asteraceae
Exons: 3
Source: RefSeq, a predicted model, not a curated record
GGACAAUGAUUUAAAUACGAACAGGUAAGUUUUGUUAAGAAUACCGAAAUGAUGUAAUGAAUGUCUAUGCAAGUAAGCAUGAAUGGAAAGAAGUACGAAGAGUACCUCAAUACAUCUAUGGUAAGUAAGAAAUGACAGCCUGACCUGGAAAGGGUCAAACUGCAAAGGUUGAUGAAAUGAGGAACCAGAAUAAAAGAAUUGCAUGUAAGGAAUGAAAUGCGGAAUGUGUUAAAGUUUGUACGUAGGACGUUGAAAAAGGAAAUAUAGGUGAGUAAUCACCUAGUAUAAUGAAUGCUUGAAUGAAAUGUGCUAACCGCAAAAAUUGUAGAUUAUAAUGUUAGGAACUCUUGAUGUGAUGAAACCAAACGAAUUGGUGGAAGGAUGUGCACGGGCGAAAGCGCAUUACGCGGAUGAAUGAAAUCUAGCCUGGUAUGACUAGUACUCGUGAAGAAUGCGGAUCGAUCUGGGUUGCAGAUCGUCGAUGGAUGAUAUGAGAUGAGGUCAGUAAAAAGUUUAACUUAUGUUAGAUAAGUAUGAAUUGGUUAAUUGGGUACGACCUACGAAAUGAAUGAUGGAAUGGGUAUGGUAUAAUAUGGGAAGUUUGAUUUUUUUUAUUUUAUUUUAGCUGACUAUAGAAGAGUAGAAUGAGCUAACUAUGGAGUUAAGCAUGUAGGUGUAACUAUGAAGUAGUAGUUUUGUUGAGAUAACAAAACAAGGACUGAAUGCUAUAUGAUGUAUAUGAAUAGAAUGUAAAUCUUAAAAGAUGAGAUGGAGACAUUAAGUCUUUUAUAAUCGGGUCAAUGAAAUGAGGAUGGUAGGUGAAAGUAUGGUAUGAAAAGUAUAGACUUGUUAGAAAGAAGUCGGUAAUGUGAAUAAUAUAUGAGUAAAGAAUGGAUAGUUUACCUAUUAUUAUGAUGUACCUAUCAAAUUAAGCAUAGAAGAGGUAUGUGUAAAUGAUGAAUUUAGAUCGCAUAGUCAACAAGAUGAUAUGAAAUUUGAAAUAAACAGGAAGGAAUGUUAUUAUUAGGAUGUUAGAAUUGUUUCAAGCAAACAAAAUAUAUGGCACAUGAUAUACGAAUAUUAUAAUGAUGAAUGAACCUUUAGUUAAGAAGUAUGUUAGAAGCUAGCAUUUUUAGUGAAAGCGACACUAAUAAGAGCUCUGGGGCGGGUUCUUGAAGAUAUAAGAUUGUCAAUGAGAUGGGCUGGUGGUCGUGUCGAUGAACUGAAAGACAAGGUGAUUAGUAUCAAACGAAAGUGAGGAAGGUAACUAGUAUUCGAUGGAAAAUGAGAAAGGUUUCGGGGACGAAACCUCAUUUAAGGGGGGUAGACUUGUAACACCCCAAAAACCCGAAUUUUUAUAUUCGUUAAAUGUUAUAAUAUGGCACAUCAAGAAAUAAAUAACUAGGUUAUUUAACCUAGUUAAAAGUAUGGUAGAAGCAAUUAAAGGAUGAGUGUUGUGCCAAUUAUGAAUAAGAGAGAACAUGAGGGACUAAGAUUGCCAAACUUGAAUCUGAGUUUAAUUAAAACAAAAAAAAAAUCUCAGACACACUAGGUGUGUGCGUGAGAUCGAUCAGGAGGAGGAGAAAAUGGGUGUAAACCCUAGUUCACAAGCAAGCUACAAAUUGACAAGGAGAUUAGGCUCAAAUCCGAUGCAUGAACUCGUUUUCUUGACAAUCUAUCCCUAGCAAGCAUGUGGAGUCAUGUCAAGACGGACUCAAGCAUGAAAGGCUAACGGGUCAAGAGGAGGCAAGGAAUCGGAUACGAACCCGGAUGCACAAGGUAGUACGAGUCAUGAGGAUCAUCAAGGAACAGAGAUCGAGGA